AUGGCCGACUCCAAGCUGCCCGACAUCCAGUCCGGCUACGAAAAGGGCAUCACCAAUGUCAUGGCCGGGCUGUCGGGGCUCAAUCUGGUCUAUGAGUCCG
Molecule: non-coding RNA, 100 nt
Organism: Aminobacter sp.
Lineage: Bacteria; Pseudomonadati; Pseudomonadota; Alphaproteobacteria; Hyphomicrobiales; Phyllobacteriaceae
Source: Rfam